RNAcentral lists this small nuclear RNA (346 nucleotides) under Ophiophagus hannah (king cobra). Its description in RNAcentral is "7SK RNA". It matches the Rfam family "7SK RNA". Rfam says of the family: 7SK was discovered as an abundant small nuclear RNA in the mid-70s but a possible function has only recently been suggested. Lineage: Eukaryota; Metazoa; Chordata; Lepidosauria; Squamata; Elapidae. The record is from Rfam by way of RNAcentral.
GGAUGCGAGGGCAAUCUGGCUGUGACAUCUGUUACCCCAUUGAUCACCAGGGUUGAUUCGGCUGAUCUGGCUGGCUAGGCGGGUGUCCCCUUCCUCCCUCACCGCUCCAUGUGCGUCCCUCCUGAAGCUGCACGCUCGGUGGAAGAGGACGACCAUCCCAGAUAGGAGUGUACCAAUCUUUGGUCAAGGGUAUACGAUAGUUGCGCUCCCCUGCUAGAACCUCCAAACAAGCUAUACACUUUUAAACAGAGCAAGUGUUAUACAUUUCUUAAAAAGAGCAAGAACACCUAAAGAAGUCUAACAGUUUCCAAAGUGAUGCUGAAAAUGUAGCUGCUUAUGAACUUUU